UACGGGAGGCAGCAGUGAGGAAUAUUGGUCAAUGGGCGUGAGCCUGAACCAGCCAAGUAGCGUGCAGGAUGACGGCCCUAUGGGUUGUAAACUGCUUUUAUGCGGGGAUAAAGUGCGCCACGUGUGGCGUUUUGUAGGUACCGCAUGAAUAAGGACCGGCUAAUUCCGUGCCAGCAGCCGCGGUAAU
Molecule: ribosomal RNA, 187 nt
Filed under: uncultured rumen bacterium
Lineage: Bacteria
Description: partial 16S ribosomal RNA
Rfam family: Bacterial small subunit ribosomal RNA
Source: RNAcentral